UGCCUCCUCUCGUGUCCCACAUGAGCUUGUCCUGGAAACCUAACUGAGGGUGACAGGAGAUGCAGAAAGGACAUCAGACAGAAGACCAAACAUGCACAAAGCUGGGACCAGAGAAGCCAGAACUUCCAUAUUCCAAGGACUGGUGAGUUGAGAAGAAAUAUGGCAUUCCAGGCUUCAGUGUCAUUUGAGGAUGUGGCUGUGGACUUUACCUGGGAGGAAUGGAAGGAUCUGGAUGAUGAUCAGAGGACCCUGUACAGGGAGGUGAUGCUGCAGACCUACAGCAGCCUGGUGUCCUUGGGGCAAUGUAUCACCAAACCUGAGCUGAUUUUCAAGCUGGAGCAAGGAGCAGAGCCAUGGAUGGGAAAAGAAUCUGCAAACCAGAGCCCAUCAGGUCAGUCAGUGCAUCCUGGGUAGGGACAUCAUGAGA
Molecule: non-coding RNA, 427 nt
Organism: Castor canadensis (American beaver)
Lineage: Eukaryota; Metazoa; Chordata; Mammalia; Rodentia; Castoridae
Source: RefSeq, a predicted model, not a curated record